This 449-nucleotide ribosomal RNA is filed under the name Parvimonas micra. RNAcentral's name for it is "bacterial SSU rRNA". It matches the Rfam family "Bacterial small subunit ribosomal RNA", at positions 28 to 460 of the family's 1533-position model. The record is from RNAcentral. Lineage: Bacteria; Bacillati; Bacillota; Tissierellia; Tissierellales; Peptoniphilaceae.
GACGAACGCUGGCGGCGUGCUUAACACAUGCAAGUCGAACGUGAUUUUUGUGGAAAUUCUUUCGGGAAUGGAAAUGAAAUGAAAGUGGCGAACGGGUGAGUAACACGUGAGCAACCUACCUUACACAGGGGGAUAGCCGUUGGAAACGACGAUUAAUACCGCAUGAGACCACAGAAUCGCAUGAUAUAGGGGUCAAAGAUUUAUCGGUGUAAGAAGGGCUCGCGUCUGAUUAGCUAGUUGGAAGGGUAAAGGCCUACCAAGGCGACGAUCAGUAGCCGGUCUGAGAGGAUGAACGGCCACAUUGGAACUGAGACACGGUCCAAACUCCUACGGGAGGCAGCAGUGGGGAAUAUUGCACAAUGGGGGGAACCCUGAUGCAGCGACGCCGCGUGAGCGAAGAAGGUUUUCGAAUCGUAAAGCUCUGUCCUAUGAGAAGAUAAUGACGUAUC